ACGGGGGUUGCGAGCGUUGUCCGGAAUUACUAGGCGUAAAGGGCAGGUAGGCGGAUCGAUAAGUUUAAUGUUUAAGGCAACGGCUCACCCGUUGUACGGCAUUAGAUACUGUCGAUCUGGAAUGCGGUUGGGGAAGACAGAAUUCCUGGUGUAGCGGUGAAAUGCGUAGAUAUCAGGAGGAAUGCCGAAGGCGAAGGCAGUCUUCCAAGCCGUUAUUGACGCUAAACUGCGAAGGUGUGGGUAUCAAACAG
RNAcentral lists this ribosomal RNA (251 nucleotides) under uncultured prokaryote. RNAcentral describes it as "partial 16S rRNA". It matches the Rfam family "Bacterial small subunit ribosomal RNA", at positions 525 to 775 of the family's 1533-position model. The record is from RNAcentral.